This is a non-coding RNA of Trichobilharzia regenti, 45 nucleotides long. NCBI's taxonomy places the organism in Eukaryota, Metazoa, Platyhelminthes, Trematoda, Strigeidida, Schistosomatidae. The record is from Rfam.
AUCCAGCUAACGAGUCCCAAACAGGAGGAAAUGCUCAUCCUGGAU